This 491-nucleotide ribosomal RNA is filed under the name uncultured bacterium. RNAcentral's name for it is "bacterial SSU rRNA". It matches the Rfam family "Bacterial small subunit ribosomal RNA", at positions 28 to 506 of the family's 1533-position model. The record is from RNAcentral.
GAUGAACGCUAGCGACAGGCCUAACACAUGCAAGUCGAGGGGCAGCACAAGGUAGCAAUACUGAGGUGGCGACCGGCGCACGGGUGAGUAACGCGUAUGCAACCUGCCUGUAACAGGGGGAUAGCCUCUUGAAAGAGAGAUUAAUACCGCAUAAUACAGCUGAACGGCAUCGUUCGGCUUUUAAACAUUUAUGGGUUACAGAUGGGCAUGCGUUUCAUUAGGUAGUUGGUGAGGUUAACGGCUCACCAAGCCGACGAUGAAUAGGGGUUCUGAGAGGAAGGUCCCCCAUACUGGUACUGAGACACGGACCAGACUCCGUACGGGAGCAGCAGUGAGGAAUAUUGGUCAAUGGAACGCAAGUCUGAACCAGCCAAGUCGCGUGAAGGAUGAAGGUAUUAUGUAUUGUAAACUUCUUUAAUCAGGGAAUAAUGACCGCUACGUGUAGCGGGGAGGGGAUGUACCUGAUGAAUAAGCAAUCGGGCUAACUCCGU